Molecule: ribosomal RNA, 381 nt
Filed under: Triticum aestivum (bread wheat)
Lineage: Eukaryota; Viridiplantae; Streptophyta; Magnoliopsida; Poales; Poaceae
Description: partial small subunit ribosomal RNA
Source: RNAcentral
AUGAUUUCUAUUUUCCUUGAAGACCAAGGAAUCAUAUUUUAUUUAUUUUCUGGAAAAGAUCAGCAUGCUAAUUUUUCCUUACUCUUAUCCAGAAUUUGUUAUUGCCAUCAGAAGGUGUACUACUUGACCAUGCAGGAUACAAGGUGUCAUGAUGAUUUGAUGAGGCGGCACGCUCACUGCAGCUUGACCACGUCAUCCCUGCCAAUGCCGAUUAGCUCAGCCUUGGUGGCGGCGGGCUCCUGGACUACCUCAAGCAGGCGCCUGCCGCGGCGGCCGACAUGUGAGGUAUGCUCUUUGGUACUAACUCUUCAUUCUCGACAUCUGGCUGUGUCUGUUCCUCAUAUUGUCUCCAAAUACCGGUGCGAAAAGGCUUUCUUCUAG